AUGAACGCUGGCGGCGUGCCUAAUACCUGCAAGUCGAGCGAACGGACGAGAAGCUUGCUUCUCUGAUGUUAGCGGCGGACGGGUGAGUAACACGUGGAUAACCUACCUAUAAGACUGGGAUAACUUCGGGAAACCGGAGCUAAUACCGGAUAAUAUUUUGAACCGCAUGGUUCAAAAGUGAAAGACGGUCUUGCUGUCACUUAUAGAUGGAUCCGCGCUGCCUUAGCUAGUUGGUAAGGUAACGGCUUACCAAGGCAACGAUGCAUAGCCGACCUGAGAGGGUGAUCGGCCACACUGGAACUGAGACACGGUCCAGACUCCUACGGGAGGCAGCAGUAGGGAAUCUCCCGCAACGGGCGAAAGCCUGACGGAGCAACGCCGCGUGAGUGAUGAAGGUCUUCGGAUCGUAAAACUCUGUUAUUAGGGAAGAACAUAUGUGUAAGUAACUGUGCACAUCUGGACGGUACCUAAUCAGAAAGCCACGGCUAACUACGUG
Molecule: ribosomal RNA, 496 nt
Filed under: uncultured bacterium
Lineage: Bacteria
Description: partial 16S ribosomal RNA
Rfam family: Bacterial small subunit ribosomal RNA
Source: RNAcentral